RNAcentral lists this ribosomal RNA (458 nucleotides) under uncultured bacterium. RNAcentral's name for it is "partial 16S ribosomal RNA". It matches the Rfam family "Bacterial small subunit ribosomal RNA", at positions 338 to 795 of the family's 1533-position model. The record is from RNAcentral.
CCUACGGGGGCAGCAGUGAGGAAUAUUGGUCAAUGGACGAGAGUCUGAACCAGCCAAGUAGCGUGAAGGAUGACUGCCCUAUGGGUUGUAAACUUCUUUUAUAUGGGAAUAAAAUGUUCCACGUGUGGGAUUUUGUAUGUACCAUAUGAAUAAGGAUCGGCUAACUCCGUGCCAGCAGCCGCGGUAAUACGGGGGAUCCGAGGGUUAUCCGGAUUUAUUGGGUUGAAAGGGGGCGCAGGCGGAAGAUCAAGUCAGCGGUAAAAUUGAGGGGCUCAACCUCUUCGAGCCGUUGAAACUGGUUGUCUUGAGUGAGCGAGAAGUAUGCGGAAUGCGUGGUGUAGCGGUGAAAUGCAUAGAUAUCACGCAGAACUCCGAUUGCGAAGGCAGCAUACCGGCGCUCAACUGACGCUGAUGCACGAAAGUGUGGGUAUCGAACAGGAUUAGAUACCCCUGUAGUC